GUGGAGCCUGCGGCUUAAUUUGACUCAACACGGGAAACCUCACCAGGCCCGGACACCAGAAGGAUUGACAGAUUAAGAGCUCUUUCUCGAUUUGGUGGGUGGUGGUGCAUGGCCGUUCUUAGUUGGUGGAGUGAUUUGUCUGGUUAAUUCCGGUAACGAACGAGACUCUGGCCUACUAAAUAGUCGACGGGCGUUUUGGUGCAUGGGCCCCGUUCGACACAGUCUUCUUAGAGGGAUGAGCAGCGAGUAUAGCUGCAGGAGAUUGAGCAAUAACAGGUCUGUGAUGCCCUUAGAUGUCCUGGGCCGCACGCGCGCUACACUGAAUGGGUUAGCGGGUUGUCCUUCUCCGAGAGGAGCGGGAAAUCGCUUGAAAACCAUUCGUGAUAGGGAUUGGGGCUUGCAAUUGUUUCCCAUGAACGAGGAAUUCCCAGUAAGCGCAAGUCAUCAGCUUGCGUUGAUUAAGUCCCUGCCCUUUGUACACACCGCCCGUCGCUACUACCGAUUGAAUGAUUUAGUGAGGCCUUCGGACUGGCGGUCUUGGACUGGGGCGCCGGCUUCUCCAGCAAUGGGUCGCCGGUGACCCGCCUAGACGGGCCGGAAAGAUGUCCAAACUUGAUCAUUUAGAGGAAGUAAAAGUCGUAACAAGGUUUCC
Molecule: ribosomal RNA, 652 nt
Filed under: Exoclimenella sibogae
Lineage: Eukaryota; Metazoa; Arthropoda; Malacostraca; Decapoda; Palaemonidae
Description: SSU rRNA
Rfam family: Eukaryotic small subunit ribosomal RNA
Source: RNAcentral